UUAAGCGACUAAGCGUACACGGUGGAUGCCCUGGCAGUCAGAGGCGAUGAAGGACGUGCUAAUCUGCGAUAAGCGUCGGUAAGGUGAUAUGAACCGUUAUAACCGGCGAUUUCCGAAUGGGGAAACCCAGUGUGUUUCGACACACUAUCAUUAACUGAAUCCAUAGGUUAAUGAGGCGAACCGGGGGAACUGAAACAUCUAAGUACCCCGAGGAAAAGAAAUCAACCGAGAUUCCCCCAGUAGCGGCGAGCGAACGGGGAGCAGCCCAGAGCCUGAAUCAGUGUGUGUGUUAGUGGAAGCGUCUGGAAAGGCGCGCGAUACAGGGUGACAGCCCCGUACACAAAAAUGCACAUGCUGUGAGCUCGAUGAGUAGGGCGGGACACGUGGUAUCCUGUCUGAAUAUGGGGGACCAUCCUCCAAGGCUAAAUACUCCUGACUGACCGAUAGUGAACCAGUACCGUGAGGGAAAGGCGAAAAGAACCCCGGCGAGGGGAGUGAAAAAGAACCUGAAACCGUGUACGUACAAGCAGUGGGAGCACGCUUCGGCGUGUGACUGCGUACCUUUUGUAUAAUGGGUCAGCGACUUAUAUUCUGUAGCAAGGUUAACCGAAUAGGGGAGCCGAAGGGAACCGAGUCUUAACUGGGCGUUAAGUUGCAGGGUAUAGACCCGAAACCCGGUGAUCUAGCCAUGGGCAGGUUGAAGGUUGGGUAACACUAACUGGAGGACCGAACCGACUAAUGUUGAAAAUUAGCGGAUGACUUGUGGCUGGGGGUGAAAGGCCAAUCAAACCGGGAGAUAGCUGGUUCUCCCCGAAAGCUAUUUAGGUAGCGCCUCGUGAAUUCAUCUCCGGGGGUAGAGCACUGUUUCGGCAAGGGGGUCAUCCCGACUUACCAACCCGAUGCAAACUGCGAAUACCGGAGAAUGUUAUCACGGGAGACACACGGCGGGUGCUAACGUCCGUCGUGAAGAGGGAAACAACCCAGACCGCCAGCUAAGGUCCCAAAGUCAUGGUUAAGUGGGAAACGAUGUGGGAAGGCCCAGACAGCCAGGAUGUUGGCUUAGAAGCAGCCAUCAUUUAAAGAAAGCGUAAUAGCUCACUGGUCGAGUCGGCCUGCGCGGAAGAUGUAACGGGGCUAAACCAUGCACCGAAGCUGCGGCAGCGACGCUGAUGCGUUGUUGGGUAGGGGAGCGUUCUGUAAGCCUGCGAAGGUGUGCUGUGAGGCAUGCUGGAGGUAUCAGAAGUGCGAAUGCUGACAUAAGUAACGAUAAAGCGGGUGAAAAGCCCGCUCGCCGGAAGACCAAGGGUUCCUGUCCAACGUUAAUCGGGGCAGGGUGAGUCGACCCCUAAGGCGAGGCCGAAAGGCGUAGUCGAUGGGAAACAGGUUAAUAUUCCUGUACUUGGUGUUACUGCGAAGGGGGACGGAGAAGGCUAUGUUGGCCGGGCGCCGGUUGUCCCGUUUAAGCGUGUAGGCUGGUUUUCCAGGCAAAUCCGGAAAAUCAAGGCUGAGGCGUGAUGACGAGGCACUACGGUGCUGGAAGCAACAAAUGCCCUGCUUCCAGGAAAAGCCUCUAAGCAUCAGGUAACAUCAAAUCGUACCCCAAACCGACACAGGUGGUCAGGUAGAGAAUACCAAGGCGCUUGAGAGAACUCGGGUGAAGGAACUAGGCAAAAUGGUGCCGUAACUUCGGGAGAAGGCACGCUGAUAUGUAGGUGAAGUCCCUCGCGGAUGGAGCUGAAAUCAGUCGAAGAUACCAGCUGGCUGCAACUGUUUUAUUAAAAACACAGCACUGUGCAAACACGAAAGUGGAACGUAUACGGUGUGACGCCUGCCCGGUGCCGGAGGUUAAUUGAUGGGGUCAGCGCAAGCGAAGCUCUUGAUCGAAGCCCCGGUAAACGGCGGCCGUAACUAUAACGGUCCUAAGGUAGCGAAAUUCCUUGUCGGGUAAGUUCCGACCUGCACGAAUGGCGUAAUGAUGGCCAGGCUGUCUCCACCCGAGACUCAGUGAAAUUGAACUCGCUGUGAAGAUGCAGUGUACCCGCGGCAAGACGGAAAGACCCCGUGAACCUUUACUAUAGCUUGACACUGAACAUUGAGCCUUGAUGUGUAGAUAGGUGGGAGGCUUUGAAGUGUGGACGCCAGUCUGCAUGGAGCCGACCUUGAAAUACCACCCUUUAAUGUUUGAUGUUCUAACGUUGACCCGUAAUCCGGGUUGCGGACAGUGUCUGGUGGGUAGUUUGACUGGGGCGGUCUCCUCCUAAAAGAGUAACGGAGGAGCACGAAGGUUGGCUAAUCCUGGUCGGACAUCAGGAGGUUAGUGCAAUGGCAUAAGCCAGCUUGGACUGCGAGCGUGACGGCGCGAGCAGGUGCGAAAGCAGGUCAUAGUGAUCCGGUGGUUCUGAAUGGAAGGGCCAUCGCUCAACGGAUAAAAGGUACUCCGGGGAUAACAGGCUGAUACCGCCCAAGAGUUCAUAUCGACGGCGGUGUUUGGCACCUCGAUGUCGGCUCAUCACAUCCUGGGGCUGAAGUAGGUCCCAAGGGUAUGGCUGUUCGCCAUUUAAAGUGGUACGCGAGCUGGGUUUGAACGUCGUGAGACAGUUCGGUCCCUAUCUGCCGUGGGCGCUGGAGAACUGAGGGGGGCUGCUCCUAGUACGAGAGGACCGGAGUGGACGCAUCACUGGUGUUCGGGUUGUCAUGCCAAUGGCACUGCCCGGUAGCUAAAUGCGGAAGAGAUAAGUGCUGAAAGCAUCUAAGCACGAAACUUGCCCCGAGAUGAGUUCUCCCUGACCCUUUAAGGGUCCUGAAGGAACGUUGAAGACGACGACGUUGAUAGGCCGGGUGUGUAAGCGCAGCGAUGCGUUGAGCUAACCGGUACUAAUGAACCGUGAGGCUUAACCUU
RNAcentral lists this ribosomal RNA (2899 nucleotides) under Escherichia coli. RNAcentral describes it as "bacterial LSU rRNA". It matches the Rfam family "Bacterial large subunit ribosomal RNA". The record is from RNAcentral. Lineage: Bacteria; Pseudomonadati; Pseudomonadota; Gammaproteobacteria; Enterobacterales; Enterobacteriaceae.